GGGAGGGACGUGGGGGCUUCGCACGGUGCAGCCCCGGGGGUGCAGGGGCGGCAGCGGGACCCCCCUGAGGGCAGCCCGGGGGCACCGCCGCCCUCCCCGCUGGGCACGAAGCUCGACGCUGAGGGAAACUUCAGUUAAAAAACAGUAAUGAAACGCCUCGAGUAGUGCGAAAGGAGUGUUGGAAAUCCAAGGUUUGGGGACGUGGUUGGGUCUCUCUGCAGCCCCACAGCAAGAACAGCCCGGAGGAAAAGAUGGGAAUUUGGAAACGGGGCACCUCGCCUGGAUGGGAUUGAUGGAAAUGCACCUUCAUCCCUUCAGGGUUUGCAAGUUCAGUGACAGCAGAUUAGUGCUUAGAAAGAUGUUCAGGAGCUGAAACGCUCCUAAGACCUGUUGGUUCUCAGAUCCUGCACGUUGAAACCAUAGUUACAUCUUUUAUUUCAAGAAGGAAAGAUAAAGCCUUCUGUUGUUCUGGUGACUAAAGCAGAAUUAAAUAACCCAGCUGGAAAUAUUGGGGCUUCUGUGUUUUUCUGCUGCUGAGGAGGCUGUUGGAGCAGCUGCAAUUGAAGCAGCUCCUGCAUCCCUGUUCUAAAGGAGCAAACAAGCUCCAGGGAAGGGGAAUGGAAAAACAUUCCACUUGACAUGUAGCAGAAAACCCUGUGUACCUUCUGCUCAGCUGCAUCAUCCUGACAUUGCUCUUCCUGAAGGUGGAAAGAGAUGGUUAUGGCAUUUAGCAGCAUCAUGGGGGUUAAUCUCACUCAGAUUUGCUGACCAGGGAGGGCAACAAAGAAAAAUAUGAGCUCUCUCCCAAAGCAUGUGCAGUCCAAGCAUAGCACUGCACAUUUAGUAACUCCCCAAAAAUGGUAAGAAAGGAUAUUAAUUAAUUAAUUCUUGAACCAGGCUUUAAAAUCAAGGGGUUCUGAUUGCCUUUUCUCUCCGUUUCCACUGCAGGGAGACUCUGCCUGUGCUUACAGUUUUAAGAGGUAUCUAGAGAUGCAGCCAAGCACCAAAGCAGGACAGGAGCUGAGGCAGAGAUGUCCAUCAGGACAUGUUUUCACAGAAAUCAUUGUGUGUGAUGACUCCACCCUGCAAUUUAGCUGAUUUGAGUCAUGGAAUAAUUGAAAUCUUCGUCUUGGUCAGCUCUGUGUGGAGAUGAAGGACAGCAAAAGCUUGUGUCCAUCACCAUCUGACGUGUCUCUGCAGGACAGGCCACUUUCCCAGGCAGGUGAGGGGGCAGGAGUGGCUCGUUUUCCUUCAGUUCCUGCCCUGCUUGGAUCAGCCAAGCUCAGGGAUGAGGAAGUGCCCGGCACAGCCCGGCUUUUGUAACUGCUCCUUUCGUUUGGAAAUGUUAUCAAAACAAACAGAUGCCGGCAGGAUGAGCGUUAAGACCUGUGCAGAGUCUGAGUUCAGAGGGAGCUUUGCCUGCUGAAACAUUUCACCCAGCAGCUCGUUAAAAUGCAGAUAUUCCAAGGAGACUUCCCCACCUCCCCCAUUAGAUCAGUCCUGCGAUAAGAGCAUAUUUUCCCACCAAUAAAAUGAACGAGCCUGGAGGGCAGGGAAGGUUAUUUUGCCUGGAAUAAGUUAUAUCCCACGCUUCCCCUUAAUUGUGGCUGAGGAACCAGUUCACUCCUGAGAACAAGCCAGAGACCAACCUCUGCCAGCACAACUGGCAAAGAGGGAUUUCUUCCCUCUUUGUGCUGCUUUAUUUGGGGUAUAAUCCCUGUGGAUGCAGUCACAGGAGUGCUGCAGGAGGGACACAGGGAGGUCCAGCCCUGGCAGAGCUGCUUUUGCCAGGCUGUUUAUUUGAGCAGCAGGAGCCUCGUGCUUUCUGCCCACGAGCCACCCGUGUCUGAACCAAUAUUUACUCAGGGCUCUGUGCACUGGGAUCGUCAGCAAUCCCUGCAGUGAGAGCAGGGCUGGAACCAGCCACCAGGCCAGAUUAGCAGCUUGGCUUGUUUACAUUUUUGAAAAAAAAAACAACCCUUGAAUUCCAGGCUGAGGGAAAGGUGGCAGCUCAGCAGCUCCGGGAGCCUUUACCCACACACAGCAGAGCUCUCCCUGCAACAGCCCACCCAGAAAAUCCCCUCUGGGCAGCAGAGCCCGACCUGUGCAGGCCUUGGCACCUCCCUAAAGGGACAGACCUGCUCUGUGACAACCCAAAAUCCAAAGAACAGGUGCUUUCAUGAUGUCCCCAAGGGCCUGACAGCAAACUGCCACCAAAGGAGGCACCGAGCUGCCAACACGCUGAGGAGGGGAGGCUUCAAACUGCAGGCAGCUCUAUUUCAGUACUAGAAUUUUCCAGUUUUCCCACAGGUUUUUAUUUAUGAAGCUGUUCUAGCUUACAAAUUAACUUACCCUGCCUCCUGCUUGUUAUUAACCUGAGAUUUGAAGGGUUCAUUGCUCGUGGAAAGGUGUGACCACAGCACUCGGUGUUUUACAGCCACGCUCCCGAGAGCAUCACAACACCUGUCCUGGGGUUUCCAGAGAAACCAGGUUUUUGGGAGCUGUUUAUUCUCACAGUUUGUGUCUGUAAGCCCACAAUCUCACACAGAUAUCCUAAUUCAACCCACAGAAUCAGGGGCAGCCUUGUUUUAGGGGAGGUAAAAAGCCCACUCCGUGCAGAGCUGAGCGUGUGCUCAGAGCUCUUAAUGAGACCAACAGAUUUCCUGAGGUGCUGACAGAUAAAGAGGUGGCCCAGGGAAGGCAAGAAUCCUUGAAAUGGCUGUUCAGGAUUGGAGCCAUGACCUAGUUAGUCUGAUUUCCUGCUCCCAGUGACUUUUACCAAGUAGUUCAGGUGAUGAGCUGAAAACCUCCUGCCUCAGAGAUGGGGGAAGAGACAGGGAGUGGCUGUGGCGGCUGAAAAUAAACUGGACAGGAGUUAAGAAUUGGUGCUGAAAUCUGUUUUCUGGGGUAUUUUAGCUACUGAAGCUGUUACUUUUUUCCUCUGGACGUCUAUCUGGUCCCCACAUAAAUGUUUGUCCCUUCCUGGGUCAGGGUUUCCCUGCUGGGUAAGUCCUUUCCCAUUGCAAUGGUGCUCUGCCUUCCUGGUGCUUCCCUGGACUUUUGUCCUACAGCACAAUAACUUCCCAGCUCACAGUUCCUCAUUCCCUGUGACGUUUCCAUGUUUGUUUGGCUUCACACACAGACACAUCCUGGAUCCCUGAGUGCCUUGGGAGCCAAGGGUCAUGGACAUUCCAGCUGGGAAGUCUCAGCCCACCUUCAGGCUCUGGGCUCCUUGGGGAGGGAAAUGUAAUCAGCUGUUCCUCAAGGAACAGGACGGGACAGGAAGCAGUGGGAGCCAGCAGGUCAGGCCUUAACAGCUGUCAGGACAGUGUG
Molecule: long non-coding RNA, 3333 nt
Organism: Pipra filicauda (Wire-tailed manakin)
Lineage: Eukaryota; Metazoa; Chordata; Aves; Passeriformes; Pipridae
Exons: 4
Source: RefSeq, a predicted model, not a curated record